CAGUCGCCGCGGUAAUACGAAGGGUGCAAGCGUUAAUCGGAAUUACUGGGCGUAAAGCGUGCGUAGGUGGUGGUUUAAGUCCGUUGUGAAAGCCCUGGGCUCAACCUGGGAAUUGCAGUGGAUACUGGGUCACUAGAGUGUGGUAGAGGAUAGUGGAAUUUCCGGUGUAGCAGUGAAAUGCGUAGAGAUCGGAAGGAACAUCUGUGGCGAAGGCGACUAUCUGGGCCAACACUGACACUGAGGCACGAAAGCGUGGGGAGCAAACAGGAUUAGAUACCCGUGUAGUCCCUGUCUCUUAUAC
RNAcentral lists this ribosomal RNA (301 nucleotides) under uncultured bacterium. RNAcentral describes it as "partial 16S ribosomal RNA". It matches the Rfam family "Bacterial small subunit ribosomal RNA", at positions 509 to 807 of the family's 1533-position model. The record is from RNAcentral.